GGCUCGUUGGUCUAGGGGUAUGAUUCCUGCUUCGGGUGCAGGAGGUCCCGGGUUCAAAUCCCGGACGAGCUC
RNAcentral lists this transfer RNA (72 nucleotides) under Schistocerca americana (American grasshopper). Its description in RNAcentral is "tRNA-Pro". It matches the Rfam family "tRNA". From Rfam's summary of the family: Transfer RNA (tRNA) molecules are approximately 80 nucleotides in length. Their secondary structure includes four short double-helical elements and three loops (D, anti-codon, and T loops). RNAcentral also lists the same sequence under 3 other names. The record is from RNAcentral. Lineage: Eukaryota; Metazoa; Arthropoda; Insecta; Orthoptera; Acrididae.